Peromyscus maniculatus bairdii (prairie deer mouse) is the source of this 499-nucleotide non-coding RNA. Lineage: Eukaryota; Metazoa; Chordata; Mammalia; Rodentia; Cricetidae. The record is from RefSeq and is a predicted model, not a curated record.
GAGGCCGACAACAUGGGAAAAGCAUGUCAUGUUACCCUCAAGGACCUCAGGCAACAGAGGAAUUUGAAGAAGCAGGGUUCUUCCAUGAGUCUCAGAUGUGCAGUUGCCAUGGUAUCCAAUGGUCGGGUCUAGGCACGGUGCUGAAGGUUCUUGGCAAAUAAUGAGAAAGCCUGCUCAACUGACAGAUCACACACAAGACAUAAAGACUUGUCAGUAUGGUUUCAGGAUUUUCCUGGAUUCAAGAAAGGAAUGCAGCAGACUGGAAGACAUGAUGCUAAGUAGGGUAUACCAUGUAUGAAAGGUGAGUACCACAUCCACUGUCACUGUGGAAGAUUCAACAAAGACUAGAAAGUGCAAUCCUCAUUCCUAGGAAUAAAGAAAGAUGUUGGGGAAUGGUUGUAUUUGAUCAUAUGCUAAAUGCAUAUAUGGAUGUAUAACAUGGAGCUCCAUUAAUAUGUACAAUUAAUUCAAGUUAAUCUAAAUAAAACCAUUUUUAAAA